AGUGAACGCUGGCGGUAGGCCUAACACAUGCAAGUCGAACGGCAGCACAGUAAGAGCUUGCUCUUACGGGUAGCGAGUGGCGGACGGGUGAGGAAUACAUCGGAAUCUACUUUUUCGUGGGGGAUAACGUAGGGAAACUUACGCUAAUACCGCAUACGACCUACGGGUGAAAGCAGGGGAUCUUCGGACCUUGCGCGAUUGAAUGAGCCGAUGUCGGAUUAGCUAGUUGGCGGGGUAAAGGCCCACCAAGGCGACGAUCCGUAGCUGGUCUGAGAGGAUGAUCAGCGACACUGGAACUGAGACACGGUCCAGACUCCUACGGGAGGCAGCAGUGGGGAAUAUUGGACAAUGGGCGCAAGCCUGAUCCAGCCAUACCGCGUGGGUGAAGAAGGCCUUCGGGUUGUAAAGCCCUUUUGUUGGGAAAGAAAAGCAGCAGGUUAAUACCCCGCUGUUCUGACGGUACCCAAAGAAUAAGCACCGGCUAACUUCGUG
RNAcentral lists this ribosomal RNA (492 nucleotides) under uncultured bacterium. Its description in RNAcentral is "partial 16S ribosomal RNA". It matches the Rfam family "Bacterial small subunit ribosomal RNA", at positions 29 to 507 of the family's 1533-position model. The record is from RNAcentral.